UACGUAGGGCGCAAGCGUUGUCCGGAAUUAUUGGGCGUAAAGAGCUCGUAGGCGGUUUGUCGCGUCUGCCGUGAAAGUCCGGGGCUCAACUCCGGAUCUGCGGUGGGUACGGGCAGACUAGAGUGAUGUAGGGGAGACUGGAAUUCCUGGUGUAGCGGUGAAAUGCGCAGAUAUCAGGAGGAACACCGAUGGCGAAGGCAGGUCUCUGGGCAUUAACUGACGCUGAGGAGCGAAAGUGUGGGGAGCGAACAGG
This 253-nucleotide ribosomal RNA is filed under the name uncultured bacterium. RNAcentral describes it as "partial 16S ribosomal RNA". It matches the Rfam family "Bacterial small subunit ribosomal RNA", at positions 524 to 776 of the family's 1533-position model. The record is from RNAcentral.